UGGGGAAUAUUGCACAAUGGGCGAAAGCCUGACGCAGCAACGCCGCGUGAGUGAUGAAGGUCUUCGGAUUGUAAAGCUCUGUCUUUUGGGACGAUAAUGACGGUACCAAAGGAGGAAGCCACGGCUAACUACGUGCCAGCAGCCGCGGUAAUACGUAGGUGGCGAGCGUUGUCCGGAUUUACUGGGCGUAAAGGGUGCGUAGGCGGAUGUUUAAGUGAGAUGUGAAAUACCCGGGCUUAACUUGGGUGCUGCAUUUCAAACUGGAUAUCUAGAGUGCAGGAGAGGAGAAUGGAAUUCCUAGUGUAGCGGUGAAAUGCGUAGAGAUUAGGAAGAACACCAGUGGCGAAGGCGAUUCUCUGGACUGUAACUGACGUUGAGGCACGAAAGCGUGGGUAGCAAACAGGAUUAGAUACCCUGGUAGUCCACGCCGUAAACGAUGAGUACUAGGUGUAGGAGGUAUCGACCCCUUCUGUGCCGCAGUAAACACAUUAAGUACUCCGCCUGGGAAGUACGAUCGCAAGAUUAAAAC
This 529-nucleotide ribosomal RNA is filed under the name uncultured bacterium. RNAcentral's name for it is "partial 16S ribosomal RNA". It matches the Rfam family "Bacterial small subunit ribosomal RNA", at positions 355 to 900 of the family's 1533-position model. The record is from RNAcentral.